Molecule: long non-coding RNA, 423 nt
Organism: Magallana angulata
Lineage: Eukaryota; Metazoa; Mollusca; Bivalvia; Ostreida; Ostreidae
Exons: 3
Source: RefSeq, a predicted model, not a curated record
UGUAUAAAUGUAUCUGAAAAUUUUCAAAGAUAUUAUACCUGCAGUGUCCAGAGGAACGCACACAUUCUCUAGCAAGGUAAAACGAAGAAAUAUACACUAUGCAGAAAUUGGUUGCCGUUUUGCUUAUCCUUUCUGUUCUUAUGAUGACAGUGGACGUCUCAGACGGUUUUAUAAGGAAAUGGGUAAAUUGUAAAAAAUGUAAAGCUACUUGUCAGUUGAAGUAUAUAAAGUGCAAGGUCAAUCCUUUCAAAACUAGUUGUGGUUUCAAGAGGAAAUUGUGCAAAAGGAAGUGUAAAUUCUAACAAAGACAGAGAUGGUGGGACUCGACCGAUAUUCAUGAGGCUAAUUGUAGUCAUUUAUAUGUGGCUAAAGUCAAAUAAGCCGUGAUCUCUUGAAAUUUGAAAUAAAAUAUGAAAGCAUGAA